AGGCCGCGCCUGCGCUGUAUGCCGUGUGGCCGCUGCCUCGCAGGCUCUCCCGGUCCCUGCUGGCGCGGCAGUGCCGCGCGGUGGGUGAUGGGAGAGCGCGCCCAUUCCCACGCCGCGCCAAGUGCCACGGGAUCAGGCCGAGGCUGGACCCGGAGACGACAGCGAGGGCAGGCUACCAAGCCCUCCCCACAGGGCCGUGCCCAGCCCAAGCCUGCCGAGUCAGCACCCAGAUCCGGGGACAAGAUAGGGUCUCGCUCCAUCACCCAGCCUGGACACAGCUCGCUGCAGCCUCAAUUCCUGGGCUCAAGUGAUCCUACCCCCUCGGCCUCCCGAGCAGCUGGGACAACAGUGUAUGGUCUACUUGGUGAAAGUUCCAUGUGCAACUGAAAAGAAUAUGAAGUGUGAAACAUAUGUGAAGAAUGAUGGUGGGACUCUGGUAUAAUCAUCUUGGAAAAAGUAUUUGUCAUUCUUGUGUUAAACAUAUACCUACCUAUGACCUAGCCAUUUCACUCGUAGAUGUUCAUCCAAGAGAACUGAAAAUGUAUGUCUACACAGAAAGUUUUACAUUAACAUUCAUUGUAGCUUCAUUUGUAAUAGCCAAAAACAACCCACCAGUAGGUGAGUGGAUAAACAAAAUUGGCGUAUCUAUACAAUGGCCCACCACUUACCAAAAAAAACAAAAAAGAAAAAAAAAAACAGCUCCUGAUACUGGCUUUUUAGAUGUACCUCUUUGUAUUUUAGUGGUUGCUCUAGGAGUUUACAUUGUACAUCUUUAUUAUAACCUACUUACUGUAUAUCUUUAUUAUAACCUACUUACUACCUACACCUUAUAUUGUACUACUUCCCAUUAAGUGUAAGAACCUUGCAUCUGUAUAAUUAAUUCCAUUGGCAACCAUGUUUUUGCUAUUGCUGUCAUAUGUUUUUCAUUAAUAUAAACCCAAAUAUACAUUGUUAUAAUUCUUAA
Long non-coding RNA from Pan troglodytes (chimpanzee), 964 nucleotides. RefSeq lists it as uncharacterized. The record is from RefSeq and is a predicted model, not a curated record. Lineage: Eukaryota; Metazoa; Chordata; Mammalia; Primates; Hominidae. The transcript has 4 exons.